RNAcentral lists this ribosomal RNA (391 nucleotides) under uncultured bacterium. RNAcentral describes it as "bacterial SSU rRNA". It matches the Rfam family "Bacterial small subunit ribosomal RNA", at positions 505 to 898 of the family's 1533-position model. The record is from RNAcentral.
GUGUCAGCAGCCGCGGUAACACGUAGGGGGCGAGCGUUGUUCGGAAUUACUGGGCGUAAAGGGCAUGUAGGCGGUCUUGUAAGCUUGGCGUGAAAGACCACGGCUCAACCGUGGGAUUGCGUUGAGAACUGCGAGGCUUGAGUGACGGAGAGGGAGCUAGAAUUCCUGGUGUAGGGGUGGAAUCUGUAGAGAUCAGGAAGAAUACCAAUGGCGAAGGCAAGCUCCUGGCCGAUGACUGACGCUGAGGUGCGAAAGUGUGGGGAUCAAACAGGAUUAGAUACCCUGGUAGUCCACACUGUAAACGAUGUGCACUAGGUGCUGGUACGGAUGUAUCAGUGCCGUAGCUAACGUGAUAAGUGCACCGCCUGGGGAGUAUGCUCGCAAGGGUGAA